RNAcentral lists this ribosomal RNA (252 nucleotides) under uncultured bacterium. RNAcentral describes it as "partial 16S ribosomal RNA". It matches the Rfam family "Bacterial small subunit ribosomal RNA", at positions 525 to 776 of the family's 1533-position model. The record is from RNAcentral.
ACGUAGGUGGCAAGCGUUGUCCGGAUUUAUUGGGCGUAAAGCGAGCGCAGGCGGUCUCUUAAGUCUGAUGUGAAAGCCCACGGCUUAACCGUGGAGGGUCAUUGGAAACUGGGAGACUUGAGUACAGAAGAGGAAAGUGGAACUCCAUGUGUAGCGGUGGAAUGCGUAGAUAUAUGGAAGAACACCAGUGGCGAAGGCGGCUUUCUGGUCUGUAACUGACGCUGAGGCUCGAAAGCGUGGGGAGCAAACAGG